RNAcentral lists this ribosomal RNA (502 nucleotides) under uncultured bacterium. RNAcentral's name for it is "bacterial SSU rRNA". It matches the Rfam family "Bacterial small subunit ribosomal RNA", at positions 992 to 1504 of the family's 1533-position model. The record is from RNAcentral.
AUAGAUUCUUUGAGAGAAGUGCCGUUUGGACGUAUACACAGGUGGUGCAUGGCUGUCGUCCCUCGUGUCGUGAGAUGUUGGGUUAAGUCCCGCAACGAGCGCAACCCUUGUUUUUAGUUGCCUUUCAUGGAACUCUAAAAAGACUGCUGGUUAUAAACCGGAGGAAGGUGGGGAUGACGUCAAGUCAGCAUGCCCCUUACACCCUGGGCUACACACGUGCUACAUUGGGCGAGACAAUGAGAUGCAAAUCUGCAAAGACUAGCUAAUCUAUAAACUCGUUCUAAGUUCGGAUUGUAGGCUGCAACUCGCCUACAUGAAGGUGGAAUCGCUAGUAAUCGCUGGUCAGCUAUACAGUGGUGAAUUCGUUCCCGGGCCUUGUACACACCGCCCGUCACACCAUGGAAGCUGGUUAUGCCCGAAAUCAUUACUCUAACCGUUUGGGGGAGGGUGCCUAAGGUAGAAUUAGUGACUGGGGUGAAGUCGUCGUAACAAGGUAACCGUA